GUGGUUUGUAGUUAGGCCCACAAGCUGAUAAUACUUGUAGUUCACGAUCUUUCAAAUGUACGCACUCUGUGCACAUUAAUCAGGCAUAACAUAACGCCUGCACCGCAUCUGCACCUUGGCAUUCGUUUCGAGUAUUGCGCUGUGCCUGCACCGCAGAAACAAGCUGCACAAUUUCUGAACUUCUCGUGAACCUCCGUUAACUGGUUGACAGUUGUGCAGGUGAAUUGAACAGCCCUUUUAAGUGCUUCCACAUGAAGUUCUUAUUUGCCCUUACGUUGCUUAGUGGCCUGAUGGCUGCUUCAGGUAUUGUACAAAAUGUUCGAUUCAACAUUGAAAGAAAAUUCAAGGAUAUGAAUGCUCAUGAAGGCCAAAAUUCAGUGACAUACAAAUGCAUUAAUUCUGCACAUAAACUAAAUAUUGUCAAAUUUCCUUCUUCCUAGCUGCAUUCAGUUAAGCAUGCUACUAAGUUGGAAUUGCUGGAAAAGUGUAAAAAAAGGCAAUUCUCUUUUAUAGUGUAGAGUGUCGACUGAUAACUGGCCUUACGGCCAGAAAUGAUGUGCAUACCUUGAGGAGGAUGCUUUAGUUCAGUGCCAACUCUAAUCUCUUUAUUCAAAUACAUGUAAAAUGCAGAAAUGCUUUUGAGACAACUACUGGAAUAAUUUCAAUGAAAUUUGUUGCAUUUGAGAGAAAAAGAUAAAAUUUAGUCAUUCUAGGCUGCAUAAUUUUGAUUUAGGACCUUGAAUAUUUAGGAAAAAUUGCUGAGAGUCAGUAAGCUUAAAAAAUAUAAGCACGAAGUUUACAAUUUCAUAGCUUUUGUAUCAAGUUGUAAACUUCAUACGGAAGUCUUUUUAAUUUCACAAUUUUCAAAAUUUCCUGCCAAAAAAAUUGCCCCCUAGAACAGUCGCUACAUUUCAGCUUUUUUUUUUUUUUUUUUUACAUGUAACCAACCUCAUCGAAUUCCGUUGCUGGCUUCAGAGAAAAACUAUUUCUCUUUUCCCAUGUAUUCAGAUAGGAGCUCCAGAGAUAAAACUGCCUCCAAGUCAGGUGGAAAAGGAAAGUAUCAGCAACGUUCUCACACCUACACUGUCCUUAUUGCAAUCUGCCAGUAUCCAGAACGAAGAUCAACAGAAGAGAAAUAGCUGGAACCGUGGAGGCAGUGAAGGGCAUCGUCUAUAUUUGGGAGCGGGCCACAGAAGAGACCAGGGUCACGAUGUUGGGCAACCAUGACGAUAAGAGCAGUCGGACAAGCUGAAGCCGUUGCAGAUGCGGUCUCGU
Molecule: unclassified non-coding RNA, 1275 nt
Filed under: Dermacentor andersoni
Lineage: Eukaryota; Metazoa; Arthropoda; Arachnida; Ixodida; Ixodidae
Description: uncharacterized LOC126516725
Source: RNAcentral